GGGACGAACGCUGGCGGCGUGCUUAACACAUGCAAGUCGAGCGGUAAGGCCUUUCGGGGUACACGAGCGGCGAACGGGUGAGUAACACGUGGGUGAUCUGCCCUGCACUUCGGGAUAAGCCUGGGAAACUGGGUCUAAUACCGGAUAUGACCUCAGGUUGCAUGACUUGGGGUGGAAAGAUUUAUCGGUGCAGGAUGGGCCCGCGGCCUAUCAGCUUGUUGGUGGGGUAAUGGCCUACCAAGGCGACGACGGGUAGCCGACCUGAGAGGGUGACCGGCCACACUGGGACUGAGACACGGCCCAGACUCCUACGGGAGGCAGCAGUGGGGAAUAUUGCACAAUGGGCGAAAGCCUGAUGCAGCGACGCCGCGUGAGGGAUGACGGCCUUCGGGUUGUAAACCUCUUUCAGCAGGACGAAGCGCAAGUGACGGUACCUGCAGAAGAAGCACCGGCUAACUACGUGCCAGCAGCCGAC
RNAcentral lists this ribosomal RNA (475 nucleotides) under uncultured soil bacterium. Its description in RNAcentral is "bacterial SSU rRNA". It matches the Rfam family "Bacterial small subunit ribosomal RNA", at positions 27 to 518 of the family's 1533-position model. The record is from RNAcentral.